Non-coding RNA from Triticum aestivum (bread wheat), 115 nucleotides. The record is from Rfam. Lineage: Eukaryota; Viridiplantae; Streptophyta; Magnoliopsida; Poales; Poaceae.
GAAGUACACCCUCCGUCCUGAAAUACUUGUCAGAGAAAUGGAUGUAUUUUAGUUCUAGAUACAUCCAAUUUUAUCUAUUUCUGCGACAAGUAAUUCCGGACGGAGGGAGUAUGAA